GAUGAAGAACGUAGCGAAAUGCGAUACGUAAUGUGAAUUGCAGAAUUCAGUGAAUCAUCGAAUCUUUGAACGCAUAUUGCGCUCUUUGGUAUUCCGAAGAGCAUGCUUGUUUGAGUAUCAGUAAACACCUCAAAGACUUCAAUUUGUUUUGAAUGGCUUUGGACUUGAGCAAUCCCAACACCAGUCUUUACGAUCGGUGGAGGGUUGCUUGAAAUGCAGGUGCAGCUGGACAUUCUCCUGAGCUAAAAGCAUAUUUAUUUAGUUCCGUCAAACGGAUUAUUACUUUUGCUGCAGCUAACAUAAAGGGAGUUUGACCGUAUUGGCUGACUGAUGCAGGAUUUCACAAGGGUCGGCAACGAUUCUUGUAAAACUCGAUCUCAAAUCAAGUAAGACUACCCGCUGAACUUAAGCAUAUCAAUAAGCGGAGGA
RNAcentral lists this unclassified non-coding RNA (429 nucleotides) under soil metagenome. Its description in RNAcentral is "partial contains 5.8S ribosomal RNA, internal transcribed spacer 2, and large subunit ribosomal RNA". The stretch from base 1 to 120 matches the Rfam family "5.8S ribosomal RNA", at positions 35 to 154 of the family's 154-position model. The record is from RNAcentral.